GGGGUUAUGGCUCAGUGGUAGAGCACUUGCUUAGCAUGCGUGAGGCCCUGGGUUCGAUCCUCAGCACCA
Molecule: transfer RNA, 69 nt
Filed under: Ictidomys tridecemlineatus (thirteen-lined ground squirrel)
Lineage: Eukaryota; Metazoa; Chordata; Mammalia; Rodentia; Sciuridae
Description: Spermophilus tridecemlineatus (thirteen-lined ground squirrel) tRNA
Rfam family: tRNA
About the family: Transfer RNA (tRNA) molecules are approximately 80 nucleotides in length. Their secondary structure includes four short double-helical elements and three loops (D, anti-codon, and T loops). Further hydrogen bonds mediate the characteristic L-shaped molecular structure. tRNAs have two regions of fundamental functional importance: the anti-codon, which is responsible for specific mRNA codon recognition, and the 3' end, to which the tRNAs corresponding amino acid is attached (by aminoacyl-tRNA synthetases). tRNAs cope with the degeneracy of the genetic code in two manners: having more than one tRNA (with a specific anti-codon) for a particular amino acid; and 'wobble' base-pairing, i.e. permitting non-standard base-pairing at the 3rd anti-codon position.
Source: Rfam by way of RNAcentral